GACGAACGCUGGCGGCGUGCUUAACACAUGCAAGUCGAACGGUAAGGCCCUUCGGGGUACACGAGUGGCGAACGGGUGAGUAACACGUGGCUGAUCUGCCCUGCACUUCGGGAUAAGCCUGGGAAACUGGGUCUAAUACCGGAUAGGACCACUGCCUGCAUGGGUGGUGGUGGAAAGCUUUUGCGGUGUGGGAUGGGCCCGCGGCCUAUCAGCUUGUUGGUGGGGUGAUGGCCUACCAAGGCGACGACGGGUAGCCGGCCUGAGAGGGUGACCGGCAACAGUGGGACUGAGAUACGGCCCAGGCUCCUACGGGAGGCAGCAGUGGGGAAUAUUGCACAAUGGGCGCAAGCCUGAUGCAGCGACGCCGCGUGAGGGAUGACGGCCUUCGGGUUGUAAACCUCUUUCAGCACCGACGAAGCGCAAGUGACGGUAGGUGCGGAAGAAGGACCGGCCAACUACGUGCCAGCCGCCGCGGUAA
This 478-nucleotide ribosomal RNA is filed under the name uncultured bacterium. Its description in RNAcentral is "partial 16S ribosomal RNA". It matches the Rfam family "Bacterial small subunit ribosomal RNA", at positions 28 to 523 of the family's 1533-position model. The record is from RNAcentral.